GACGAACGCUGGCGGCGUGCUUAACACAUGCAAGUCGAACGCUGAAGCUCAGCUUUUGUUGGGUGGAUGAGUGGCGAACGGGUGAGUAACACGUGAGUAACCUGCCUCCUUCUUUGGGAUAACGCCCGGAAACGGGUGCUAAUACUGGAUAUUCACUGGUCUUCGCAUGGGGGUUGGUGGAAAGGGUUUUUCUGGUGGGGGAUGGGCUCGCGGCCUAUCAGCUUGUUGGUGGGGUGAUGGCCUACCAAGGCUUUGACGGGUAGCCGGCCUGAGAGGGUGACCGGUCACAUUGGGACUGAGAUACGGCCCAGACUCCUACGGGAGGCAGCAGUGGGGAAUAGUGCACAAUGGGCGCAAGCCUGAUGCAGCGACGCCGCGUGAGGGAUGGAGGCCUUCGGGUUGUGAACCUCUUUCGCUCAUGGUCAAGCCGCAACAAUGGUUGUGGUGAGGGUAGUGGGUAAAGAAGCGCCGGCUAACUACGUG
Molecule: ribosomal RNA, 483 nt
Filed under: uncultured bacterium
Lineage: Bacteria
Description: partial 16S ribosomal RNA
Rfam family: Bacterial small subunit ribosomal RNA
Source: RNAcentral